Long non-coding RNA from Trematomus bernacchii (emerald rockcod), 598 nucleotides. RefSeq lists it as uncharacterized. Lineage: Eukaryota; Metazoa; Chordata; Actinopteri; Perciformes; Nototheniidae. The record is from RefSeq and is a predicted model, not a curated record. The transcript has 5 exons.
UAACACCGCCUGUUGUUAAAACACUAUAUAGUACAGGGUUGGAUCAUGGUGUUAAACAUAUUUAACGACGGAUAGUGUGUUCUCUCAAUCCGGGUACUUUUACGUGAUGUGCGUGAAAUUAUUUAGAUCUCCGCCAUCUUUUUUAUGCAACCAUCAGUCUUGAGAGACCGCAGUCCGUGACGCAUGUUCUCCGUCAAGUCUCCGUCUAACGGAAGCAGUCCGUCUUGCAGCAAGUGUGAUCGCUUGGCCUCGCCCUCGACAGACUGCAGUCAGUGAGUGACGCACUAUCUCAGUGUCACCUAAGCAGCCAUCAGUCCCCGCAGGUUUCGACCGUGUGGUCUCGACAGACCGCGUGACUCACGUGUUCUUCUGCUCCGUGCGGAAGCAGCCAUCUUGUGUGGCCUCGACAACGACUGCAUGCAGGCUCUUGCUCUUCUCUUCAGCUGAAGAUGAUAGUCAAAGUGCAAUACCGAAACCAAAAGAAGUACAUCAAAAUUCCAGAAGCUUGUUUUGGCAUCUUCAUCACUGAAGGCAAGUAUAUGAACUGCAUAUGAAUCAGAAUACCUUUAUUAGUCCCACAGAGGGGAAUUUUGCGAUC